RNAcentral lists this transfer RNA (68 nucleotides) under Serica brunnea. Its description in RNAcentral is "tRNA-Trp". Lineage: Eukaryota; Metazoa; Arthropoda; Insecta; Coleoptera; Scarabaeidae. The record is from RNAcentral.
AAGGAUUUAAGUUAAAUAAACUUUCAACCUUCAAAGCUGAGAAUAAAGACCAAUUUCUUUAAGCCUUA